GGAGAGGUGUCCGAGUGGUCGAAGGAGCUUGAUUGGAAAUCAAGUGUAGGGGAAACCCUACCGAGGGUUCGAAUCCCUCUCUCUCCGCCA
This 90-nucleotide transfer RNA is filed under the name Negativicutes bacterium. Its description in RNAcentral is "tRNA-Ser". It matches the Rfam family "tRNA". From Rfam's summary of the family: Transfer RNA (tRNA) molecules are approximately 80 nucleotides in length. Their secondary structure includes four short double-helical elements and three loops (D, anti-codon, and T loops). Further hydrogen bonds mediate the characteristic L-shaped molecular structure. tRNAs have two regions of fundamental functional importance: the anti-codon, which is responsible for specific mRNA codon recognition, and the 3' end, to which the tRNAs corresponding amino acid is attached (by aminoacyl-tRNA synthetases). tRNAs cope with the degeneracy of the genetic code in two manners: having more than one tRNA (with a specific anti-codon) for a particular amino acid; and 'wobble' base-pairing, i.e. permitting non-standard base-pairing at the 3rd anti-codon position. The record is from RNAcentral. Lineage: Bacteria; Bacillati; Bacillota; Negativicutes.